Molecule: long non-coding RNA, 245 nt
Organism: Sphaerodactylus townsendi
Lineage: Eukaryota; Metazoa; Chordata; Lepidosauria; Squamata; Sphaerodactylidae
Exons: 3
Source: RefSeq, a predicted model, not a curated record
GGAGCAAGCUUACUUUUAUGGUAGCCCUUUGCAUAUGGCCAUAAGCUCACAGCGUGCAGUUUGAAUUACAGAAUGGAAUGUAAUACGUAAGGGGUUUGUCUUAUUGUGACCAAAGACAGAUCUGACCAAUUAGAUUCUUAAGGGGUAUGGACCAUCAUACGUAGAGUAAAGGGAUGGCCCGUGUGACGUCUUUGCAUCUACAAAAACUCAGGUCUUCCUAUACUGAGUGUGACUCUCACUUGAGA